RNAcentral lists this unclassified non-coding RNA (1300 nucleotides) under Athalia rosae (coleseed sawfly). RNAcentral's name for it is "misc RNA ENSAEAG00005010708.1". The record is from RNAcentral. Lineage: Eukaryota; Metazoa; Arthropoda; Insecta; Hymenoptera; Athaliidae.
UCAAACAAAACCUAUCGCCUCUCCCCUCCACCUUUAAACGCUCUAAGAUCGCCGUUUUAGUUCAGAUAAGCGCCGCUGUAUUUGCUGUAAAUAAAUGAAUAUUCCAAACAUCAAUUCUACCAUUUGAUCGAUUUACUUGUACUGCGUUUCUUUCAUAACAUAUUCAUUAAUCAUCAGUGUAAGAGCGACAUAAACGUAGACUCAUCCAGGUAUGUCGAACACCUCGAUCGGUGUGAUGAUUCCGUGAGAAUCUUCUUUGAAAGCCGAAAAAAAUCUUAAUGGAUGACUACUUUUUUCCUCCACACAAGGAUGGGUGGGAGUAACGUAGGCACCGUGCGUAGGCACGUGAUUGUGAAAGCUGUAAGCCAAUGGAAAUGCGAGCAUUCACUUCGAAGGCGUGUCUUAUAAAAGCUCAAUAAUGGAACAAGUCCGACUUUUGAAGAUCAACCCCAUUUGACGUGAGCUCGACCUACAAACUAUCAGCAUUGACUGAAGAGAGCUUGGCAUUGAAAGACUACCCUACGGUCAGCUAAGUUUAUCACUCUACGAAAGAUGAUUUCCUUGGUGUCCAAGUUUCGUUCGAGGUUAGGUUCCGUGCUAUUUGGGGCGUAUUCCGAAAUAUACUUGCAGUACUGCAAGUGCUGGCAACCGCGUUCCGAAACAGCGUGACAGCUUAAUGUAGCCAGUCAGUGACGUCGCGGAAUUCAUGACGUAGUUAACUGCGACUACUGCGUUCCGAGACGUGAAGCAGUUGAAGUAGUCCAAAGAUGGCGGCGCCGUUCCGGCAGUAGAAAACCGAAGACCGAAUGUCGUUGGUAGUAAACUGCGUGACUUCAUAAUUAGCAGUACUUCAAGACCUUCAAGUAUAUUCCGGAAUACACCCUUGGUUCCGUGCACGUGCGUAUCAGUAAUCUCACAAUGGCCAUAAAUACACCGUUAAUAGAUUUAAACUCGUACUAAGCUGGUGCGGAUCAAGAGAAAUAGUACACAUCCGUUUACAUCGGCUAACUUGCGAGCAUCAUUCGAACUAACGUUGGUACUCUCACCAAAAGUCAUCUGCGAGAGUUUGGUACACCUCCGUGAAGUUGGCCGGAAAGUUUCGAUUUUCCAAAAAGAAACUUCACAGAUCGAUUGUUGGUCGUUUGUAGGUGAUUGUUGGAUAGGUAAAAUUGUUUGUUGGAUUAUAGUUUUCUAACCAAAUCCAAAAUUGUGUUUUGCAUAAAGUUAGCCGGAUGAUUUUUUAUUUUCAAUUUUUUACACUUCUCAAGGGGUCCAAUCGAAACGCAAUCGUUUGUUGGAU